GACGAACGCUGGCGGCGUGCUUAACACAUGCAAGUCGAACGGAAAGACCCUGCUUUUGUGGGGUGCUCGAGUGGCGAACGGGUGAGUAACACGUGAGUAACCUGCCCUUGACUUUGGGAUAACUUCAGGAAACUGGGGCUAAUACCGGAUAGGAGCUCCUGCUGCAUGGUGGGGGUUAGAAAGUUUCGGCGGUUGGGGAUGGACUCGCGGCUUAUCAGCUUGUUGGUGGGGUAGUGGCUUACCAAGGCUUUGACGGGUAGCCGGCCUGAGAGGGUGACCGGCCACAUUGGGACUGAGAUACGGCCCAGACUCCUACGGGAGGCAGCAGUGGGGAAUAUUGCACAAUGGGCGGAAGCCUGAUGCAGCAACGCCGCGUGCGGGAUGACGGCCUUCGGGUUGUAAACCGCUUUCGCCUGUGACGAAGCGUGAGUGACGGUAAUGGGUAAAGAAGCACCGGCUAACUACGUG
Molecule: ribosomal RNA, 468 nt
Filed under: uncultured bacterium
Lineage: Bacteria
Description: partial 16S ribosomal RNA
Rfam family: Bacterial small subunit ribosomal RNA
Source: RNAcentral